RNAcentral lists this ribosomal RNA (253 nucleotides) under uncultured bacterium. RNAcentral describes it as "partial 16S ribosomal RNA". It matches the Rfam family "Bacterial small subunit ribosomal RNA", at positions 524 to 776 of the family's 1533-position model. The record is from RNAcentral.
UACGGAGGAUCCAAGCGUUAUCCGGAUUUAUUGGGUUUAAAGGGUGCGUAGGCGGCCUGUUAAGUCAGGGGUGAAAGACGGUAGCUCAACUAUCGCAGUGCCCUUGAUACUGAUGGGCUUGAAUGAACUAGAGGUAGGCGGAAUGUGACAAGUAGCGGUGAAAUGCAUAGAUAUGUCACAGAACACCAAUUGCGAAGGCAGCUUACUAUGGUUUGAUUGACACUGAGGCACGAAAGCGUGGGGAUCAAACAGG